GUAGGUGGCAAGCGUUGUCCGGAAUUAUUGGGCGUAAAGCGCGCGCAGGCGGUUCGUUUAAGUCUGAUGUGAAAGCCCACGGGCUCAACCGUGGAGGGUCAUUGGAAACUGUAGAACUUGAGUACAGAAGAGGAAAGCGGAAUUCCACGUGUAGCGGUGAAAUGCGUAGAGAUGUGGAGGAACACCAGUGGCGAAGGCGGCUUUCUGGUCUGUAACUGACGCUGAGGCGCGAAAGCGUGGGGAGCAAACAGGAUUAGAUACCCUGGUAGUCCACGCCGUAAACGAUGAGUGCUAAGUGUUACGGGGGUUUCCGCCCCUUAGUGCUGCAGCUAACGCAUUAAGCACUCCGCCUGGGGAGUACGGCCGCAAGGCUG
This 374-nucleotide ribosomal RNA is filed under the name uncultured organism. RNAcentral describes it as "partial 16S ribosomal RNA". It matches the Rfam family "Bacterial small subunit ribosomal RNA", at positions 527 to 896 of the family's 1533-position model. The record is from RNAcentral.